CACAAAUAGUAUCGUUUGGAUACAAAGACGUUGAACUGGACCGUGUGAAUAAAAAAAGAUUUGCCAGAUGCAAAAUAUGCAACAACGUCAAAUUUCAUUCGUUAUUUUAAGAACCACAAGGAAAGAUCAGCAAUUGAUUUUCCAUGUUAAUAUUUCCUAAAAUGGGGGUGGGGUGCCCUUUUCCUGGAGGCUCUAAGCUCUACACACCAAGUGAACGACGACAACACCCUCCUUCCAAGUAAUGUUCCUACACAACAGGCAGUGAAGGUUGAACCUAGAACAGACCAGAUCCAUACUGCUAAAGGGAGAGAGAGAGAUGGUUGGAUCAGGAGAGGAGUAAUAAAUGACUG
This is a long non-coding RNA of Esox lucius (northern pike), 350 nucleotides long. The record is from Ensembl. NCBI's taxonomy places the organism in Eukaryota, Metazoa, Chordata, Actinopteri, Esociformes, Esocidae.